This 375-nucleotide ribosomal RNA is filed under the name uncultured organism. RNAcentral's name for it is "bacterial SSU rRNA". It matches the Rfam family "Bacterial small subunit ribosomal RNA", at positions 526 to 896 of the family's 1533-position model. The record is from RNAcentral.
CGGAAGAUCCAAGCGUUAUCCGGAAUUACUGGGCGUAAAGAGUUGCGUAGGUGGCAUAGUAAGUAGAUAGUGAAAUCCUGGGGCUCAACCCCUUACACAUUGUCUAAACUGCUAAGCUAGAGGGCGAGAGAGGUAGCUAGAAUUCCUAGUGUAGGAGUGAAAUCCGUAGAUAUUAGGAGGAAUACCGAUGGCGUAGGCAGGCUACUGGCUCGUCCCUGACACUAAGGCACGAAAGCGUGGGGGAAGCGACCGGGAUUAGAUACCCCGUUAGUCCACGCCGUAAACGAUGGAUGCUAGCUGUUAUGCGUAUCGACCCGCGUAGUAGCGAAGCUAACGCGUUAAGCAUCCCGCCUGUGGAGUACGAGCGCAAGCUUA